GAGAAGGACGCAUUGAUAACUUAAUUGUAAACACUUUGGCAUUGUUGUAAAUGUUGCCCGUGUUCGGCUUGUUCUGAGGUGCUACCUUGUAGUGUGUACCAAGUACAUGUGUACCAAGUAACCACAGUAUCGAAACCAAACACUGGGGAGCAUCGACAUGUGUGAUAUCCACAUAUGACAGCAGUCAUCAGUGUAGUGGAUCCGUGUUUAAGCCAGGAACACUGAGGAACUUUACGCUCAACGCCAUAAAACCGGGACCAGAAACUUAAAUAUUUGUAUACCAAAUAAAUAUGUAAAUUGU
Long non-coding RNA from Ostrea edulis (European flat oyster), 301 nucleotides. RefSeq lists it as uncharacterized. The record is from RefSeq and is a predicted model, not a curated record. Lineage: Eukaryota; Metazoa; Mollusca; Bivalvia; Ostreida; Ostreidae. The transcript has 2 exons.